This 2272-nucleotide long non-coding RNA is filed under the name Anser cygnoides (Swan goose). RNAcentral's name for it is "lncRNA (ENSACDG00005011615.1)". The record is from RNAcentral. Lineage: Eukaryota; Metazoa; Chordata; Aves; Anseriformes; Anatidae.
GCCUCCCAUCUUAGGCCCCGCCCCUUGCCUUAAGCCCCGCCCCUCAUCUGGCAGGUGCCAAGCAGCCCCCAGGAGGGUCCCGGGGGUCCCCCGAGGCCCCGGGGGUGCCGUGGGGCCUUGCCCCGUCCCGGCGCCGUUCCCCUCACAGGAGGGCGAUGAGGAGCGGCCACGGCCGGGCCCAGCCCCGUGUGGGGCCCGAGCAGGCCCCGGCCGGCGGCGGCGGGCACCGGGAGCGGCUGCCGGUGUCGGGACGGGGGGGGCCGGGCUGCCCCUGAGGGCACGGCCCCGGUGCGGCGGGGCCAACGCUCGGCCUUCAGGGCUCCACGCGCUUGGAAACGGGCGCGUUGGGAGGCCGCGGGACGCAUCCUGCGCGCCUCGCCCCGGGGAAGGGCGGAGGCGGCGGCGCCGGGAAGGAAGCGGCUGCGUGGGGCGGGCGGCGGCGCGGUGCCGGCAGCCAGGGCUGCAGCGGGGCCUGAGCACCGGGCGGUGGGGACGGGGCUGCUCGUCCUCCCCCAGCCCCUUCCUUCCCCGCUGCCCGGCCCCUGAGCGUGGCAGGAAGCGGGGUGCAGGACCCCAGAAUGUCGGGGAUCGGAAGGGACCUUGGGAGCUCAUCCUGCCGGAGCAGGAGCUCCCGGGUCAGGACCCACAGGCGGGUUUUGGGUGUCUCCAGAGAUGGAGACCCCACAACCCCCCGAGCAGCCUGUCCCAGGGCCCUGCCACCCUCCCCAUAAAAAAAGUUUCAUCUCCUCUUUAAGCAGAACCUCCUCUCUUCCCGCUUGCACCCGCUGCCCCUUGCCCUAUCAUGGGAUGUCACCGCGAAGAGCCUGGCUCCGUCCUCCUGGCGCUCGCCCUUUCCAUAUUUACCAACACCAACAAGGUCACCCCCCCGUCUCCUCUCCUCGCAGCGGGUCCCCGGGGGCAGUGGGUGCCCGCAUCCUGCCCGCAGCCCCCAUCCCGCCUGCCCCCCCUAUAUCUGAUGCCUUUGGAGCGUCGCUGCUGACUCAGGCCAACGCAGGGAGCUCGCUGCCCCCCCCCACCCCGACCCUCCCACCCAUUGGGACUGGGUGGAAAGGGCUGGGACGGGCCCCGGGACGGGGAUAUACCCCCGGCGGCAGCCCCGGCCCCGCUGCAGCCGUCCCGGUGGGUAGGAGGAUGCUCCUCCGGGCUCGGGCACGGCUCCUCUGCUGCCUGCUCCUUGCAGUGCUCCGGCAGGGGCGCGGGGACCCGCUGUACGGAGCCCCCGAGGACGAAGGUAAGGCUGCGAUGCCGUCGUCCCAGCACCGCUGUGGCCGUGGCAGAGCUGACGCAGGGGGACGGGGCCCUGGGCACGGUCCCAAGGGUCCUCCCGGUGCUGAGGGCUCCGUCUGUCCUUCCAGGUGACUACCUGUAUCUGGACGAGGACGGUGAGUAGAGCUGCCCCCUCGGGAGCCGUCAGCGUCGCAGGGGCCGCUUGGUGCCCCGUGGGUAAGCGACCCCUCUCCUCAGGACCGCUGGAGGUGCUGGGGGGGCCGGCCCGCUGCCAGGACUCCUACCAGGACUGGGUGGCCCUGUACUGCUGGGCCCCCUUCCACGCCGCCCUCAUGGCCGCCCCCGAGGGCAGCCGCUGCCGCUGGGAGCAGAUCGGGAGGUGGGUCCUGCUGCGGUGCCCGGGGCUCGCUCCGAGCAGCGCCCGCGUGGGGCUGACCCCCCCCGUGUACUCGGGGUCCUGCGCCGCCCGGCUGCCCUCACCCCGUCUCUCCCCUCUCCGCAGCGCCUACAGCGAGCUCUCCGCCUGCGCCGAGCUGCUGGCCCAGCUCUUUUCCUGCCCCUGGCCCAGCACCGCCCUCGAUGCCUUCUUCCUGCAGGUCCACGCCGAAUAUUUCAGCAACUGCAGCAGGAUGGAGCCCCCUGGGAGCGGGGGGCUGCCCCCCGGGCUGGCUGCUGCUGCGGCGGUGGCGCUGGGCUGCCUCGUCCCCCUCGCAGCCGCCUUCACCGUCCGCAGAGCCUGGAGGGGGGCUCGGAGCCCGGCGGGCAGCGGCACAGCCCCGAGUGUCCCAGUGGCCACGCUGGGCUGAGAGCAAGCCCUGGGGGUUCAACGGAGGGGGCGAAGGGUGAGCGGGGUGGGGGUCUGGGGGUCCUGUGCCACGGGGCGAGGCCGGCACUGGGGGGCCGACCGCCUGCCUCCCGCCCUAGGGUGGGGGAAAAUGGGGAGAAGGGUCCUGGGAUCGCAACCUCGCUGGGCUGAGCCCCUUCCCCGUGGGCUGAGCCCCCUGCCCAUGGGCUGAGCCCCCUC